GUAGAAUACAAACCUUGUGCUUAGUGUUGUAAGCUUUUGCAGUGAUCGUCUUUGUGAAAUACAAAUUGUUGAAAAUGGCGAAUCAGCAGCAAGGAUCGAGUCGGCCAUGGAUUCUCGAAGCAUUACCUCUUCUAGUAGUCAUACUAAUCGCUGCUCAUGUUCUCGCUUUGGUGUACUGGAUUUACCGGGUAGCAACUGAGAAACAGCCUCAGAGAAGUAAAAAGCACUAGCAAAUGUAGAUAGAUUGAUUUCAUUUUGCUUCAGCUUGUAGGAAAAUGCAAGGGAUUCAUUCUAUACUCACUCAAGGCCUCUUUGCCUAAGCAUACGUGAGUCUCCUUUUCUUCGUGAACACUGUGCAAUUAUGCUGGAAAAGUCUGGCAUGUGUUACACGUUAGUGGUACCGUUGUUGAGAAACUUCUUUCUUCUUCUAUAUUAACAUCAGUGUAAUUCUUCUGUAGGAUUUUUUUUGCAUCUCUAAUUCUCUUUUGCUGUGGUGUGUGUUUCAUGAGUUUUUACUAGAGCUUUUCAUCCACUUGUAAAUUUAGUUUAGUAUGAAAAUUGCAGCAACACAAGUUUGAGGAUUGUUAGUCAUAUAUAAGCAUGUUAAAAGUUUGUAGACACAAGAUUUUCUUCAUCCAAAAAUUGCUACAUUCCAACAUUUCAAACUUUAA
This is a long non-coding RNA of Solanum stenotomum, 671 nucleotides long. RefSeq lists it as uncharacterized. The transcript has 3 exons. The record is from RefSeq and is a predicted model, not a curated record. Lineage: Eukaryota; Viridiplantae; Streptophyta; Magnoliopsida; Solanales; Solanaceae.